CAAUAGCGUAUAUUUAAGUUGCUGCAGUUAAAAAGCUCGUAGUUGGAUUUCGGGUGGGAAUGGCCGGUCCGCCGUUUCGGUGUGCACUUGCUACGCCCACCUUGCUGCCGGGGACGUGCUCUUGAGUUCACGCUCGGGACACGGAGUCGGCGAGGUUACUUUGAGUAAAUUAGAGUGUUCAAAGCAGGCCUACGCUCUGAAUACAUUAGCAUGGAAUAACACGAUAGGACUCUGGCCUAUCUUGUUGGUCUGUAGGACCGGAGUAAUGAUUAAGAGGGACAGUCGGGGGCAUUCGUAUUUCAUUGUCGGAGGUGAAAUUCUUGGAUUUAUGAAAGGCGAACUACUGCGAAAGCAUUUGCCGAGGAUGUUUUCAUUAA
RNAcentral lists this ribosomal RNA (377 nucleotides) under uncultured eukaryote. RNAcentral describes it as "partial 18S ribosomal RNA". It matches the Rfam family "Eukaryotic small subunit ribosomal RNA", at positions 592 to 976 of the family's 1831-position model. The record is from RNAcentral.